GAUGAACGCUAGCGGCGUGCCUUAUGCAUGCAAGUCGAACGGUCUUAAGCAAUUAAGAUAGUGGCGAACGGGUGAGUAACGCGUAAGUAACCUACCUCUAAGUGGGGGAUAGCUUCGGGAAACUGAAGGUAAUACCGCAUGUGGUGGGCCGACAUAUGUUGGUUCACUAAAGCCGUAAGGCGCUUGGUGAGGGGCUUGCGUCCGAUUAGCUAGUUGGUGGGGUAAUGGCCUACCAAGGCUUCGAUCGGUAGCUGGUCUGAGAGGAUGAUCAGCCACACUGGGACUGAGACACGGCCCAGACUCCUACGGGAGGCAGCAGCAAGGAAUCUUGGGCAAUGGGCGAAAGCCUGACCCAGCAACGCCGCGUGAGGGAUGAAGGCUUUCGGGUUGUAAACCUCUUUUCACAGGGAAGAAUAAUGACGGUACCUGUGGAAUAAGCUUCGGCUAACUACGU
This 454-nucleotide ribosomal RNA is filed under the name Dehalococcoides sp. enrichment culture clone AQ1-34. RNAcentral's name for it is "bacterial SSU rRNA". It matches the Rfam family "Bacterial small subunit ribosomal RNA", at positions 28 to 506 of the family's 1533-position model. The record is from RNAcentral. Lineage: Bacteria; Bacillati; Chloroflexota; Dehalococcoidia; Dehalococcoidales; Dehalococcoidaceae.